AACGAACGCUGGCGGCAUGCCUAACACAUGCAAGUCGAACGAGACCUCCGGGUCUAGUGGCGCACGUCUACGUGACGCCUGGGAACCUGCCCUUAGGUUCCGUAUCACUCCCCGAAAGGGGUGCUAAUAACGCUUAAUCUAUUCGGGCCAAGGAUCUUUCGCGUUUGGAUGGGCCCUCGUUGGUUUCGCCAGUUGGUAGUGUACAAGCCUACCAUGGGCACGAUCCAUAGCUGGUAUGAUAGGAGGAUUAGGAACGCUGGGAAUGCGGCACGGCCCAGACGCCUACGGGAGGGAGCAGUGGAGAAUAUUGGACGAGGGGCGAAAGCCUGAUCCAGCAAUGCCGCGUGAGUGAUGAAGGCCUUAGUGUUGUAAAGCUCUUUUACCCGGGAUGAUAGUGACGGUACCGGGAGAAUAAGCACCGGCUAACUCCGUG
This 433-nucleotide ribosomal RNA is filed under the name uncultured bacterium. RNAcentral describes it as "partial 16S ribosomal RNA". It matches the Rfam family "Bacterial small subunit ribosomal RNA", at positions 29 to 507 of the family's 1533-position model. The record is from RNAcentral.